AUGCAAGAUUACGAGGCCCAAAUCUGGGCUUUCAAGUAUCGGAUCGAACUGUCAACGGUGGAGGCAUCACGUCAACUUUAUUUAACUUCUUACAAAAAGAAAAAGAGAACACCAAUUGAUUCAAUGGUGCAGUCGUUCAAUGAUAUGGCUGUGUUAAAUGAGCGUGAGCUACUGGUCAGGUUCAAUGGCAAACAUGUGUUGCACUGUGACGUUGAUGGCAAAUUCUUAGGUUUGGUUAAAAUUGGUAAGAAUCAUUGUAUGCGGCUUGCUCAUUACCGCCUCCAGGAGAGCAUUCUUCCAAUUCCGUCCCAUGAGAUGCAUCAAGGUUAA
RNAcentral lists this ribosomal RNA (330 nucleotides) under Triticum aestivum (bread wheat). RNAcentral describes it as "partial small subunit ribosomal RNA". Lineage: Eukaryota; Viridiplantae; Streptophyta; Magnoliopsida; Poales; Poaceae. The record is from RNAcentral.